RNAcentral lists this non-coding RNA (45 nucleotides) under Schistosoma haematobium. Lineage: Eukaryota; Metazoa; Platyhelminthes; Trematoda; Strigeidida; Schistosomatidae. The record is from RNAcentral.
AUUCGGCUGACGAGUACCAAAUAGGACGAAACGCGCGUCAUCGAU